This is a long non-coding RNA of Ornithodoros turicata, 496 nucleotides long. RefSeq lists it as uncharacterized. NCBI's taxonomy places the organism in Eukaryota, Metazoa, Arthropoda, Arachnida, Ixodida, Argasidae. The transcript has 4 exons. The record is from RefSeq and is a predicted model, not a curated record.
UAUAGUCUACACACAUCUGAAAUAUCCUACCUAUACAGGAAAGUUUCAACGAUCUCUUCGUGGACACAAUGACGCCUCUACGUUUCGCUGUUGUCUUCGUCCUCCUCUUUGGUGGAUUUGUCGCUAGUGAAGCUGCACCUGAAGGACACGAGCUUGAACGUCGUGACGUUGUCGUUGAGCACUGCGCUUGUCUUAUGGGUGUUAUCGAUUGCCCUACCAAAAGUUGCACACUGGCGAGCGGGUGUACGGAAUGCGCCGAUCUCUCGGUAUGCCUUUGUUAUGGGGGUAGCACCUGCCCUGGAAAGAGUUGCACAGCGGCAAGCGGCUGUUCGAAAUGCACCCAUACCAUUGAGUAAACAACAUGGCUGACUGGCAUCUCUCAACUACGAAAUGAUCAAUUGCACGUAUAUGAAAUAAGAGACCUUGGUAUUCUCUUUUACCAAUAUGUUCAUGGGUGGCGGGAACUUUUGAGGGCAAUAAAUUGUACUAAGCAGCA